Molecule: ribosomal RNA, 789 nt
Filed under: uncultured bacterium
Lineage: Bacteria
Description: bacterial SSU rRNA
Rfam family: Bacterial small subunit ribosomal RNA
Source: RNAcentral
AGUCGAGCGAGCUUGCCUAGAUGAUUUUAGUGCUUGCACUAAAUGAAACUAGAUACAAGCGAGCGGCGGACGGGUGAGUAACACGUGGGUAACCUGCCCAAGAGACUGGGAUAACACCUGGAAACAGAUGCUAAUACCGGAUAACAACACUAGACGCAUGUCUAGAGUUUGAAAGAUGGUUCUGCUAUCACUCUUGGAUGGACCUGCGGUGCAUUAGCUAGUUGGUAAGGUAACGGCUUACCAAGGCAAUGAUGCAUAGCCGAGUUGAGAGACUGAUCGGCCACAUUGGGACUGAGACACGGCCCAAACUCCUACGGGAGGCAGCAGUAGGGAAUCUUCCACAAUGGACGAAAGUCUGAUGGAGCAACGCCGCGUGAGUGAAGAAGGGUUUCGGCUCGUAAAGCUCUGUUGGUAGUGAAGGAAGAUAGAGGUAGUAACUGGCCUUUAUUUGACGGUAAUUACUUAGAAAGUCACGGCUAACUACGUGCCAGCAGCCGCGGUAAUACGUAGGUGGCAAGCGUUGUCCGGAUUUAUUGGGCGUAAAGCGAGUGCAGGCGGUUCAAUAAGUCUGAUGUGAAAGCCUUCGGCUCAACCGGAGAAUUGCAUCAGAAACUGUUGAACUUGAGUGCAGAAGAGGAGAGUGGAACUCCAUGUGUAGCGGUGGAAUGCGUAGAUAUAUGGAAGAACACCAGUGGCGAAGGCGGCUCUCUGGUCUGCAACUGACGCUGAGGCUCGAAAGCAUGGGUAGCGAACAGGAUUAGAUACCCCUGGUAGUCCAUGCCGUAAACG